AUGUGGAAAAUCUGUGUAGAAACUUUCUUUGGUCUUGUCAUGAUACGUUCAACAAGAGGGUUCCUAUUUCCUGGGAACAUACUUGUGAUCAUGUGUAUGCAGAAGGUCAUAUUCAAGCAUAGAGAUGUUUUAAUUAACUCUUCUGUUUGGAAUAUAUUUCACGUGUCAGGAGUUUAUGUCACGAGAGAUAUGUACCAUGAGAAACAAGGUGAUAGUCCAAAACAACAACAAAGAUGGCUUGAGACUUCAAGAGAUAAAGGAUAUUAUUUUGUGGCGUGUGGAAAGGGAUACAAAAUUGACUGA
This is a non-coding RNA of Vicia faba (fava bean), 303 nucleotides long. The record is from the annotation of a GenBank genome assembly. Lineage: Eukaryota; Viridiplantae; Streptophyta; Magnoliopsida; Fabales; Fabaceae.